AUCUGCACGUUCAGAGUUCUGCAGAUUUUUCUGCUGGUGGGUAGGCAAUGGUAAGCAUCAGCCCUUUGAGCUUAAUCAUUCUAUAUUUGGGGAAGA
Molecule: long non-coding RNA, 96 nt
Organism: Lepidothrix coronata (blue-crowned manakin)
Lineage: Eukaryota; Metazoa; Chordata; Aves; Passeriformes; Pipridae
Exons: 3
Source: RefSeq, a predicted model, not a curated record